Molecule: ribosomal RNA, 253 nt
Filed under: uncultured bacterium
Lineage: Bacteria
Description: partial 16S ribosomal RNA
Rfam family: Bacterial small subunit ribosomal RNA
Source: RNAcentral
UACGGGGGGGGCAAGCGUUGUUCGGAAUUACUGGGCGUAAAGGGCUCGUAGGCGGCCAACUAAGUCAGACGUGAAAUCCCUCGGCUUAACCGGGGAACUGCGUCUGAUACUGGAUGGCUUGAGUUUGGGAGAGGGAUGCGGAAUUCCAGGUGUAGCGGUGAAAUGCGUAGAUAUCUGGAGGAACACCUGUGGUGUAGACGGCUCUCUGGACCGCAACUGACGCUGAGACACGAAAGCGUGGGUAGCAAACAGG